This 683-nucleotide ribosomal RNA is filed under the name uncultured bacterium. RNAcentral's name for it is "bacterial SSU rRNA". It matches the Rfam family "Bacterial small subunit ribosomal RNA", at positions 139 to 808 of the family's 1533-position model. The record is from RNAcentral.
GGGGAUAACAUUUGGAAACAGAUGCUAAUACCGCAUAACAACGAAAGCCACAUGGCUUUUGUUUGAAAGAUGGCUUUGGCUAUCACUCUGGGAUGGACCUGCGGUGCAUUAGCUAGUUGGUAAGGUAACGGCUUACCAAGGCGAUGAUGCAUAGCCGAGUUGAGAGACUGAUCGGCCACAAUGGAACUGAGACACGGUCCAUACUCCUACGGGAGGCAGCAGUAGGGAAUCUUCCACAAUGGGCGCAAGCCUGAUGGAGCAACACCGCGUGAGUGAAGAAGGGUUUCGGCUCGUAAAGCUCUGUUGUUGGAGAAGAACGUGCGUGAGAGUAACUGUUCACGCAGUGACGGUAUCCAACCAGAAAGUCACGGCUAACUACGUGCCAGCAGCCGCGGUAAUACGUAGGUGGCAAGCGUUAUCCGGAUUUAUUGGGCGUAAAGCGAGCGCAGGCGGUUGCUUAGGUCUGAUGUGAAAGCCUUCGGCUUAACCGAAGAAGUGCAUCGGAAACCGGGCGACUUGAGUGCAGAAGAGGACAGUGGAACUCCAUGUGUAGCGGUGGAAUGCGUAGAUAUAUGGAAGAACACCAGUGGCGAAGGCGGCUGUCUGGUCUGCAACUGACGCUGAGGCUCGAAAGCAUGGGUAGCGAACAGGAUUAGAUACCCUGGUAGUCCAUGCCGUAAACG